CUCAGUGCCUUCCCUCAGCCCCCCGCAGCUUUCUCUGAGCUCCUUCCCCCAGCCCCUUGGUGCUAUCACUUAGUCCCCCUCAGUCCCCUGAUGCCUUCCCUCAGUCACCUUGGUGCCUUCCUUUAGCAGCCUUCCCUCAGCUCCUUCCCUCAGCCCCCCGCAGCCUUCCCUAAGCCCGUUCCCUGAGCUCCCUGGUGCCUUCCCUUAGCCCCCCUCAGUCUCCUGAUGCCUCCCCUCAGUCCCUUCCCUGAUCCCUUCAGCACCUUUCUUCAGCCCCUUCCCUGAUCCCUUCAGCACCUUUCUUCAGCCCCUUCCCUCAGCCCCCCACAGCCAUCCCUGAGCCCCUUGGUGCCUUCCCUUAGCAGCCUUCCCUCAGCUCCUUCCCUCAGCAGCCUGGUGCCAUCCCUCAGCACCCUUCAGCCCCGUCCCUGAUGCCUUCAGCACCUUUCUUCAGCCCUUCUCUCAGCCCCUUGCCCCUCAGUCCUCACCUCAUGUCCCGGGGCCUCUCCCUUACCUCAGUCCUUCUCUCAUGCCCUCAGUGCUUUUCUUUGGGCCUUGGUGCCUUCUCUGGUCCCUCUUCAGGCCCACCCCACAGGGCCUUCCCUCAUCCUUUCAGUGCUUAUCUUCAGCCCUUUUCUCAGCCCCUUCUUUCACCCCUCAGCACCCUCCUUCAUCCCCUCGUCCCUUCACAAAAUCAUAGAAUGGCCGAGGUUGGAAGGGACCUCUGAACAUCAUCCAGUCCAACCCCCUGCUGAGCAGGACCACCUAGAGCACGUUGCGCAGGAUGGCACCCGAGAAAAUCUGUGGCCUGCUGGAUCACCCUCUUUGUCUCCUGCCUGUGAGAGCACCCAAAGUGUGAACUGCCCACUUGGCUGGGAUCUGGAUGGGAGGAGGUUGCUUGUGGCUGAAGGUACACGACUGGAGCCAAGGGGACACAAGCUCGUUCCGUGACCAAAAUGUUACUGCUUGAUCAUGGCAAAACGUGAGGCUACGUGUAUGAGACUCCAGAUCUUCUAAACAAAAUGUCUCUUUCCUCUCUUGAAGUAAUUGGUCCUGUAGUAAUUAAGCAGAAGGAGCAUUCGCAAUCAUUAUUAUCUUCAGAGUUGUAAACAUGCUUCAGAGCUGGUAUUUGCUGGAGUAGGUUGUACCACUGUUAUCGCAGGCUGUCUGCAGUUGCAGGGAAGUGACAUUCAUAGUGGAUUAUAUUCUCCUAGAUGGAAAUAUAGAUUGUGUCCAUGACCCUCCCCAAGAACUGCUUUUAUUCCACUCUCGGUGAUUUCCAGCCUCUAUCUCCUUCCACGUCAUCCUGCCUCCUCCCCAGCGAAGCGGCAUGUGAAGCUCGGGAGGUGCUGUGUGCUGAGCCACGUCGGCCCAUGCAGUGAUGCUUAAACCCUUCCCUCAGGUACUAUAAACCAGUCAUAUUCAUACUUUACGGAGGAGAAAACUGAGGAAAUGAGUGCUUUGCUGGAGGCCAGAUGAGAACUUUGUAAGGCUAGAACACAAUCAUUCCUAGCCUUUUGUUCUAACCAGCUGCUUUCAGGUGUUGUACAUACAUGAAUAUGUUUUAAAACAGGAAUACUUAUUCCCGAUCUUAUUAAACUGAGGUAGACACUA
Molecule: long non-coding RNA, 1614 nt
Organism: Cygnus atratus (black swan)
Lineage: Eukaryota; Metazoa; Chordata; Aves; Anseriformes; Anatidae
Exons: 3
Source: RefSeq, a predicted model, not a curated record